GCCUUCCUUGGCAAAACUAGAAUAUACUACAGUUGUGGCUCCCAAAUCAAGAGUCAAGUUCUCCUAUGCAUGAACUCAGGCAGAAAGCUAACCAGCAGAAAGAGGCCUAAAUGGCAGAGAGUAUCAAAAGAAAGAAGAUGGAACGAGACAGGUGAGGGUGCAGUGUUGAUCACUGCAGGAUGUUGCAGUGGAACCAGAUGACCCAAACCAAAGAAAAGACCAAGAAGCCCCCAGUGGACAGCAGGCUUCCCUGUUUGCAGAGUCAUCUACCCUCAGUCGGGACGAGCAUAGGAUUGGUAAGCCUGGGGCAGCAGGAUGAGUUCGUAGGCUGAGACCCCGAGGUCCCCGGUGGUCUGGCCUUCCUCAGCUCCUCCCUGGUGGGACACAAGGUAAGUCCACUCGCCCCCCACGUCCCCGGGAGAGCGGUGCAGGGCUCGGUGAAGCACCGUGCGCCGGG
Phalacrocorax carbo (great cormorant) is the source of this 457-nucleotide non-coding RNA. NCBI's taxonomy places the organism in Eukaryota, Metazoa, Chordata, Aves, Suliformes, Phalacrocoracidae. The record is from RefSeq and is a predicted model, not a curated record.